Molecule: ribosomal RNA, 341 nt
Filed under: Aspergillus sp. BRVR
Lineage: Eukaryota; Fungi; Ascomycota; Eurotiomycetes; Eurotiales; Aspergillaceae
Description: SSU rRNA
Rfam family: Eukaryotic small subunit ribosomal RNA
Source: RNAcentral
UUUUUAGCAUGGGAAUAAUGCAAUAGGACGUGCGGUUCUAUUUUGUUGGUUUCUAGGACCGCCGUAAUGAUUAAUAGGGAUAGUCGGGGGCGUCAGUAUUCAGCUGUCAGAGGUGAAAUUCUUGGAUUUGCUGAAGACUAACUACUGCGAAAGCAUUCGCCAAGGAUGUUUUCAUUAAUCAGGGAACGAAAGUUAGGGGAUCGAAGACGAUCAGAUACCGUCGUAGUCUUAACCAUAAACUAUGCCGACUAGGGAUCGGACGGUGUUUCUAUUAUGACCCGUUCGGCACCUUACGAGAAAUCAAAGUUUUUGGGUUUUGGGGGGAGUAUGGUCGCAAGCUG